UCCGGAUUCAUUGGGUUUAAAGGGUCCGUAGGCGGAUUUUUAAGUCAGUGGUGAAAGCCGGCAGCUCAACUGUCGAACUGCCAUUGAUACUGGAAAUCUUGAGUACAAAUGAAGUAGGCGGAAUGAGUCAUGUAGCGGUGAAAUGCAUAGAUAUGACUCAGAACACCGAUUGCGAAGGCAGCUUACUAACAUGUAACUGACGCUGAGGGACGAAAGCGUGGGGAGCGAACAGGAUUAGAUACCCUGGUAGUCCACGCCGUAAACGAUCAUCACUCGCUGUUGGCGAUAUACUGUCAGCGGCCAAGCGAAAGUAUUAAGUGAUGCACCUGGGGAGUACGCCGGCAACGGUGAAACUCAAAGGAAUUGACGGGGGCCCGCACAAGCGGUGGAGCAUGUGGUUUAAUU
RNAcentral lists this ribosomal RNA (405 nucleotides) under uncultured bacterium. Its description in RNAcentral is "bacterial SSU rRNA". It matches the Rfam family "Bacterial small subunit ribosomal RNA", at positions 544 to 951 of the family's 1533-position model. The record is from RNAcentral.